AAAUUGAAGAGUUUGAUCAUGGCUCAGAUUGAACGCUGGCGGCAGGCCUAACACAUGCAAGUCGAGCGGCAGCGGGAAGUAGCUUGCUACUUUGCCGGCGAGCGGCGGACGGGUGAGUAAUGUCUGGGAAACUGCCUGAUGGAGGGGGAUAACUACUGGAAACGGUAGCUAAUACCGCAUAACGUCU
This 187-nucleotide ribosomal RNA is filed under the name Yersinia enterocolitica. RNAcentral's name for it is "partial 16S ribosomal RNA". It matches the Rfam family "Bacterial small subunit ribosomal RNA", at positions 1 to 181 of the family's 1533-position model. Lineage: Bacteria; Pseudomonadati; Pseudomonadota; Gammaproteobacteria; Enterobacterales; Yersiniaceae. The record is from RNAcentral.